UUUUUUAGUAGAGACGGGGUUUCACCGUGUUAGCCGGGAUGGUCUCUCGAUCUCCUGACCUCGUGAUCCGCCCGUCUCGGCCUCCCAAAGUGCUGGGAUUACAGGCUUGAGCCACCGUGCCCGGCCUAAAAGGAAUAAUUUUAUAUGAAUAAUGUUCAUUAUACAAUCUUUUUAUGCUAGUUUUCAGUUAAUCAGGCAGAGCUGACAGUCUCCAUGAGGAAUCAUAAAAAUAAUCAACCUUAUCCCAGAAGAAUUGUCAACCAAGACAAAAGCCAGAGGGAAAUUAAUUUUCUUCACCUCUUAAUAUUUGAUCUACAAAGAAAUUUGUUUUGUGACUUUUCUUGCCUUUAGAAUAGAAACUUGAGACAUAACCUCUUGGAAAAAUUUGCAUAUUAUUUCUAACAAAGAUGUUAUGACCUUCUAUCAGAGCUCGAUGCCACUCAAGUUGCCAUACAAGAACUAAGUUCCUAUAGAGGUACAGUGACAGCUGUUGGGUUGAAUGCCGGCAGAGAAAUGAGAAAACAUCAAGGUACUGAGUAAUUUUGUUAUUCAUGGCUGUUUUCCAGAUUGCUUCCUCUUUAAAUGAACCCACAAGAAGUGUAGAGGUGAGUAUAAGCUAUGUUUCCUAGGAAACGUUAAAGGUAAAAUUUCAAGUGUCAGAAUAAUUACUUUGACUCAUUUGAGUCAAUAGAGAUGACAAAUGUUAAAAGGGCCCAGAAAAGUUGCUCUUGCAGAAUGCUUGUUUAGAUUUCAGUAUUUGAGAAUGUUUUAAGUUAUCCUGAAGUCUACUAUAAAGUUCUACACCAAAUUAUUUUCAAUUUAAUGUAUAGGGCAAACAAACUCUAAUCAUUCUUUUAGGAGUGAAGGUUGUUCACAGUACCUAAUUAUAUACCUAAUUAUAUAGUAUUAGAACAUCAGAAAGGAUGAGCAUCCCUGCUAGGAGCUGUGGGUUUAGGGCCCCAGGAUGACCUGGGAAAGCUAGGCCUCCCUGGUAUAGUUUCAAUAAGCAGGAGCUUGGAGUAGAAGCAAUAUUUCUAUUGUGAUUGUACCAAGCACUGUGCCUGGCAUAGAGUAGAUGCUUAAUUAAAAUUUAUUAAAUAAAUGAAUGUUCGUGGAUUACUCACUUAAGCUUAGUGAGCUGGCUUGAUAAUAUCUGCCUGGGCAGCAAAAAUAGCUCCAAAUUCAUUAUUAUUACCGGGAGAACAAAUUCAUAUACAAAGGAUAUCAUUUUUUCUUACCAAGUCAGUGUUUACCAAGAGAAGAAAACAGUAACAGUACAAUAUUUAGUUUAGCCAGAUUUUAACAUGGUGCCCAGCUCUCCUAAAGCACUGUAUUGCAGAUUAGGUUGGGGAAGAUGUGUGUCAAAAUUUUCUCUCAAGCUCCCUGCAAAAGCAUCUCUUCCAAUCUCCUGGUGGUUCCCACUCCCUUUCUGUUGAAGCCCGCCAGGUUUCCUGCCCAUUACCACACACUCACAAACUGGCGGAAACAUUCUUUGCUCCUCUUUUUGAUAACCUUAUUUUACAAACAAAAAAAAUGUCUAGAAUUGGUAUUUAAAAAAAAAAAGCACAAUAGCCUGAUGCAUACAUCUCAAUGCAGCCUAGGACAGAGAAGUCUCCAGUCUCCAGUGUAUCUAUGGCCGCUCCUCAGCUUCCCGUGUGCUCUGCUGGCCCACACUGCUUGCCAGCAGUCCUUACAUCAAAAAGGUUGAUAAUGCAUCCAGCCCUACCCUACUCUUCUGCUGGCACCAUGCUCACAAAGCUGUUUUAUAAUUCUUAUUCUCAUUUUUGGAGAUGCGCAUGCAUGGAAAAAUUUUACACAAUAUGGAAUGUUCUGGGGUAGGCAAAUGGAAAAUGAACAUGGCCGCCUCUUCCCCCAGGAUGUCCAUAUGUCUAUUUUUUCUCACUAUAACUUUACAGGGACUGUAUUCAUAUGGUUCUGCUUUAUGGGCUUAUAUGACUGAUAAACAAACCUAACUCAGGUAUUUUAAUUCAGAGCAGAAGAGCUUCCGAAAACUGAUACUUUCUGCUAUGAAUGUUCUGUUUCAAAAUCUGGAACAUCCAGGAUAUAAGAUACAUUGUCUUUUUUUUUUUUUUUAAGGUAGGUUCCAUUCAAAGUACAAACUCAUGAUAAAAAUUGCUGUAGCAGGAGUGUCAGUCUGCAAAUUGCUUUUCAGCUGAAGGAGCUUUGUUUCCUAUUGAAUAAUAGCUCCCAGGCAUUUCUACUUAUGAUUGGUGGAGGAAAUCCUCCUGUCAUAGCACAUUAGGGUUUGAUGCAUUUGCUUGAAAUCUCCAAAUCUGCCAGAGAGGUACCUCUGUAGUAAAGCCACCGGCAUAGUUUGCUACAGGGAUCUGGGUGAACUUUCAUCACAAAUGUGAGUUAGCAAUGUUCCUCCUCAAAACUAGGGAAGACCUACGUAUGUCAAGGGUUCUGACCAAUUGAAGCGCUACAAAUUAUCUGAUCAAACCUGACCUAUUUUAGAUCUACUAGACCAGUCUAAGAUAACCCAGAGCAGUAAGAACCUAAGAACAGGAACUUUCUGUUGUGCAUAAAGUGUUGCUCCUGGUGGAGAUGAGUUCUGACCUUCCUGAAGGAAGGUUCUAUGUUUUAAUUAAAGUACUUAGAGAUCCUAAAAUGAUGCUCUUCUAGCAAGCACCCAGUAAAUGCUAAUGGUUUUCCUUUUUGAGGGGAGAGAGAAAUCUUUGUCCAUCAUUCUGUGAUAGUGUAUAUAUAGCUAAUGCAAAUGCGAGUAGCCUCUUACAUGGGGAUUAGGCUCUAAAUCUAAUGAAAAAGACAUAUCAUUACACACAGUAAAAAUGACCCUAAGUUUCCUUUAAAUUGACCGUAAAGUGUAGUAUUCACGGUGUUGUUAACAUAGCAAUAAUUACUAUAACCCCAGAUCUGAGAGCCUCUGAAAGCCUAUAUCCAAAUGUGUGGACAUUCAAGCCUUCCUUCCUUCUAGAUUACUAUCAGAUUUUUGAAGUAAAUGGAGAAUGGAUGAUAAGGGAUUGUAGAAUAGUCUUGCCUGAUCAUAGCGAUUAUAUUUUUGUUUUAAAAUUAAGCAUCUAAAAUCAGUAUAUGUUUAUAUAUUUCUUUAUUUUAGAAAGGAUUAAACAAGAUGGUAAAGUUGCACCUUAGGUGGCACUGAAUUCUAACAUUGCGUAAAUUAUGCAACUCCAUUAUUUUUGAGGCAUUAAUUACAUGACUGUAGAUUAUGUAACCAUUUUGGGGGGCAUAUGGAGCAGGCAAUUUUAGUUACUUAGUGUUUUCUUUAAAUCACUUUAAUUUGUCACCUUUUUUCUAGGCUUUUUAGCCACGGUUAAUAGUGAUAGUAAUCAGGUAAGAGUAUUAAAAUCAUAGAUUAUCUGGGUAUGAAGGAUCCUUUAUCCACAUAUCUUCAUUCAUGUUUUGAUAAUUCUCUAGAAUAUCUGAAUUGACACUUUUUGAGUAUGGUCAUCCAACCAUUUACACAUACUCAAUGUGUAGAAUUGAAUAAAUGAACAUUUUCUGAAGACUUUCAGGUUAGAUUUUGUCAACUACUGAAAUCUGGAUUUCACUGUGCAAUACUAGUGUUAUGGACAUAGUAAAUCUGUCAAACAAGGAAUUAAAGUAAGAGUAACGUGAUUUGUUAUUGGUGAGCAUAUACAGGAUCCCAAGGACACUUGCUUUUCAAAGUACUCAUAUACCCACCUAUUAAAUCCAUUCUAGAAUAUUGCUUUUGAUCAAUGUGAAGCUUGUUAGCUCUUGAAAUUCCCCAACAUAGUAGAUUCAGCAAUAAAAUUUAUCUGUCUCUAGUCUUCCAGCACCUUUCCCAUUUCCCAAAAUCCUUCCACAACAGUGGACAAUGAUUUGUUAAUCUCAUUUAGGAGUUUUGCAGAUACUUGGAUAGAGUUCAUUCCAUUCCAAUUACUAGAAUUCCCUUGGGAGGGCUACAUGUUCUCUUUUCAAGGGCCAGAUGUUUGGUGUCAAUCUUGAUGUUCACAAUUCUUUCUACUGUCUUCUGAUAUGAUGUGCUUAUGUGAUGUGGGGGUUUUGCAAAGCUUGUCACUGGGACCCCCACUUUACUUUUAGUUAAGACACAAAGGUUUUUAUCUGGUAAUUUAUGAAAUACAAAUCUAUUUCCAUCAAGAAUAAGAACCUCGGCAAGAUGUUUUUGAUCCUGGUGUGUCCUAGCAUUCCAUCAUUCUCAAAUGGUGCCAGUGGUGGCACAAUUCAUGACCACCAGGCACACAACCUCCCAUAGCAGCAGCCACUGCCACACACCACAACCCCACUGCUAUUCUCAAUGACUUGUUUUAAUGCAGUCUAAUAACUUCCCCCACAAAGAGCUCUUUCAUAUAGAGAGUUGCCACAGAAAUGAAAAACCCUAUAUAGGGUUUUUCAUAUAAUGAAUAUAAUGACACAUUCAUAUAAUGAAUACAUAUAUACAUACAUAUAAUACAUUCAUAUAAUGAUCCAAGCAGAGUAAUUCAGAAAUCCACCAACUUAAACAUUUAUCUUUUCUUUAUGCAGGGGGUACUUAUUAAAAAAUUAUAGCUUACCAUUUGGUAAUUGACUAAAAUAUUUCUGUGUUCUCUUUGUGCCACUGAAACCUGAUAGACUGAUUUUGCUGCUGAAUUGAGAUAAAAGUAUAGUUUCUAGCAUGGCGCUUAGCACAUAGUAGAUACUGAGUCAAAGUGAGUUUGUUUCUCUUACCAUGGCCUUGGUGGUACUGCUUCAUUUUAUACCUUCAAUAAUCAGAAAUGGCAAGAAAGGAGGGUGGAAGGUGAAGGGGGAAUAUAAGUAUUUACUUGAAUACAUCUCAGGCUAUUCCUAACACACACUAUAAAUGCAUCAGUUAUACGCUGUUGACCAACUCCCUGAUCAAAGCUUCCCAGUGGCUUCCAAGGCUCCAAGGUCCUAUCUAAUCUGUUUCCCCUCUGCCUCAUUCUGUUCCAGCCACAGUGACCUCCUUGAUGUUCUUCAACACACCAGGCACAAUCACACUCCAGGGUCUUUAACUUUAUUGUUGCUGCUGCCUGGAAUACUGUUCAUUCAAUAUUUGCAUGGUUUAUUCCUCACUACAUUCAAGUCCUAGUUCAGAUAUUUCCUUAGCAAGGUUCCCUCAUGACACCUAAAAAUCAUAAUCUUUUCUUUGCUUAGGCACUCUCCAUCUCCCUUACUCUCUUUUAUUUUUCCAUAGUAUUUAUUACUCUCUAAUGUCCUAUAUAAUUUACUUAUGUGGAAUGUUUAUUGUCUGUAUCUUCCUAUACAUGUACAAAUACACAGAGACACAGACACACAGAUGUACACACAGAAUGUAGGCUCCAUGAAGGAAGGGAAUUUUUUCUUCUGCCCACUGCUGUAUUCCCAGUGCCUACAAAAGUAUGCUUGGAAGUAGUAGUUUGCACAAUAAAUAUUAAUUAACUUAAAAAAUGUAAAUGGGCCGGGCGCGGUGGCUCAAGCCUGUAAUCCUAGCACUUUGGGAGGCCGAGACGGGCGGAUCACGAGGUCAGGAGAUCGAGACCAUCCUGGCUAACACGGUGAAACCCCGUCUCUACUGAAAAAUACAAAAAACUAGCCGGGUGGCGGGCGCCUGUAGUCCCAACUACUCGGGAGGCUGAGGCAGGAGAAUGGCGUGAACCCGGGAGGCGGAGCUUGCAGUGAGCUGAGAUCCGGCCACUGCACUCCAGCCUGGGCGGCAGAGCGAGACUCCGUCUCAAAAAAAAAAAAAAAAAAAAAAAAAAAA
Macaca fascicularis (crab-eating macaque) is the source of this 5725-nucleotide long non-coding RNA. Lineage: Eukaryota; Metazoa; Chordata; Mammalia; Primates; Cercopithecidae. The record is from Ensembl.